This 775-nucleotide ribosomal RNA is filed under the name uncultured Neocallimastigales. Its description in RNAcentral is "partial large subunit ribosomal RNA". It matches the Rfam family "Eukaryotic large subunit ribosomal RNA", at positions 23 to 646 of the family's 3401-position model. The record is from RNAcentral. Lineage: Eukaryota; Fungi; Neocallimastigomycota; Neocallimastigomycetes; Neocallimastigales.
AGAGAUGUGUGAUGACGCAUAUCAAUAAGCGGAGGAAAAGAAACUAACAAGGAUUCCCUUAGUAACGGCGAGUGAAGCGGGAAGAGCUCAAAUUUGAAAUCUUCAAGGUUCUACCUUGACGAAUUGUAGUUUAUAGAAGUGUUUUCUGUUAGUAGAGUGGCAAAAGUUCUUUGGAAUAGGACAUCAUAGAGGGUGAGAAUCCCGUAUUUGGUCAUUCCUUCUAGCUUUGUGAUACACUUUCAAAGAGUCGGAUUGUUUGGGAAUGCAGUCCAAAAUGGGUGGUAAAUUUCAUCUAAAGCUAAAUAUUGGCGAGAGACCGAUAGCGAACAAGUACCGUGAGGGAAAGAUGAAAAGAACUUUGAAAAGAGAGUUAAACAGUACGUGAAAUUGUCAAAAGGGAAGCGUUUGACACCAGUGUUGUUUUUCCGAAAAUCAAUUACGAAUGUUUUAUUUUUGAAGAGUUAUGACUUCAUCGGCUUGCUUCUUUCUUUACUGAAACUUUCUUAAUGCACUUUUCGGUUAACAAGUCAACAUCAAUUUCUUUUGUUGUAAAAGAGUAUGAGGAAGGUGGCUUUCUUUUCGGAGAAAGUGUUUAUAGCCUUUACCUCUGCAAUCGGAGAGAUUGAGGUCUGCAGCGUAGAUCCUUUGGGAUUAGAUACAUUUGUGCUAAGUUAUAGCUUUUCAUAGACAACUUGUUGACUAUGAUUUAGUCUUGUAGCUUACUCGCUUAUGCUAUUUUACCUACGCUUAGGAUGUUGACGAUCAGCUGAGCGCG